CCCCAUGGAGCUUCAAACCCAACUACACCCCUAGCUCUUAUAGCCCCACAACCCCCCCUAGGCGCCGUGUGCUUGGUUUUAGGUUGGGGCGACCGCGGAGUACAAUAAAACCUCCACAAUGAAUGGGAACACCCCCUUAUCUGAGGGCCACACCCCCUAAGAAUUAGAACACUAACAUAAAAUGAUCCAUUACUUGAUCAAUGAACCAAGUUACCCUGGGGAUAACAGCGCAAUCCAUUUCAAGAGCCCCUAUCGACAAAUGGGUUUACGACCUCGAUGUUGGAUCAGGGUACCCCAGUGGUGCAGCAGCUACUAACGGUUCGUUUGUUCAACGAUUAAAACCCU
RNAcentral lists this ribosomal RNA (345 nucleotides) under Mantidactylus melanopleura. RNAcentral's name for it is "partial 16S ribosomal RNA". It matches the Rfam family "Bacterial large subunit ribosomal RNA", at positions 2089 to 2597 of the family's 2925-position model. The record is from RNAcentral. Lineage: Eukaryota; Metazoa; Chordata; Amphibia; Anura; Mantellidae.